Molecule: ribosomal RNA, 497 nt
Filed under: uncultured bacterium
Lineage: Bacteria
Description: partial 16S ribosomal RNA
Rfam family: Bacterial small subunit ribosomal RNA
Source: RNAcentral
GAUGAACGCUGGCGGCGUGCCUAAUACAUGCAAGUCGAGCGAACAGACGAGGAGCUUGCUCCUCUGACGUUAGCGGCGGACGGGUGAGUAACACGUGGAUAACCUACCUAUAAGACUGGGAUAACUUCGGGAAACCGGAGCUAAUACCGUAUAACAUGUUGAACCGCAUGGUUCAACAGUGAAAGACGGUCUUGCUGUCACUUAUAGAUGGAUCCGCGCCGCAUUAGCUAGUUGGUAAGGUAACGGCUUACCAAGGCAACGAUGCGUAGCCGACCUGAGAGGGUGAUCGGCCACACUGGAACUGAGACACGGUCCAGACUCCUACGGGAGGCAGCAGUAGGGAAUCUUCCGCAAAGGGCGAAAGCCUGACGGAGCAACGCCGCGUGAGUGAAGAAGGUCUUCGGAUCGUAAAACUCUGUUAUUAGGGAAGAACAAAUGUGUAAGUAACUAUGCACGUCUUGACGGUACCUAAUCAGAAAGCCACGGCUAACUACGUG